This 471-nucleotide ribosomal RNA is filed under the name uncultured organism. RNAcentral's name for it is "partial 16S ribosomal RNA". It matches the Rfam family "Bacterial small subunit ribosomal RNA", at positions 335 to 797 of the family's 1533-position model. The record is from RNAcentral.
ACUCCUGCGGGAGGCAGCAGUGGGGAAUUUUGGACAAUGGGCGAAAGCCUGAUCCAGCAAUGCCGCGUGUGUGAAGAAGGCCUUCGGGUUGUAAAGCACUUUUGUCCGGAAAGAAAUCCUUGGCUCUAAUACAGUCGGGGGAUGACGGUACCGGAAGAAUAAGCACCGGCUAACUACGUGCCAGCAGCCGCGGUAAUACGUAGGGUGCGAGCGUUAAUCGGAAUUACUGGGCGUAAAGCGUGCGCAGGCGGUUUGCUAAGACCGAUGUGAAAUCCCCGGGCUCAACCUGGGAACUGCAUUGGUGACUGGCAGGCUAGAGUAUGGCAGAGGGGGGUAGAAUUCCACGUGUAGCAGUGAAAUGCGUAGAGAUGUGGAGGAAUACCGAUGGCGAAGGCAGCCCCCUGGGCCAAUACUGACGCUCAUGCACGAAAGCGUGGGGAGCAAACAGGAUUAGAAACCCUAGUAGUCCCA